UUCUCCUCGACCGCUCACUGCGCCACUUCACCAGCAAGAGUCAAUUCCGUGUCGAUUCGAUCAGCUAACGUAACUUUUGGAGCUAUCAAGUCGUGCAGUUGCGCCGUCGUAGCCGCGAAGGGGCGUUAGCGACGGCACCAACUAGCGUGAAUAAACAUUGACCAAGCACCGCGCUCCAACAACUUACCGCAACAUUCUUAGCGUAAAAGUUAACGUGGAUGGUUUACUCUAUGUAAUUUGCGAGGACUGAGUUGCGCAUACUAAGUUUCCCUAUCGAAAAUAUAACAGUGCGAACGACUAUAACGAAAUUCGACUUUACUACUUGUGAUGAUGUGUGAUACUGAUGUUUCGACUAAUGUUUUUGCUGGUUUGAAUGGAUAUUGGGAGUAAUUGCGCAA
Long non-coding RNA from Melitaea cinxia (Glanville fritillary), 398 nucleotides. RefSeq lists it as uncharacterized. NCBI's taxonomy places the organism in Eukaryota, Metazoa, Arthropoda, Insecta, Lepidoptera, Nymphalidae. The record is from RefSeq and is a predicted model, not a curated record. The transcript is spliced from 2 exons.